AUCUGUCCAUGUGUUAUCUGUAAGAAUCAGAAGGGUUACUCUUCCUCAAGAGAUGUUCACAUGCAUCUGCUUCAGCACGGUUUCAUGCCAAGCUAUAAUUGUUGGACCAAGCAUGGAGAAAGAGGGGUUAUAAUGGAAGAAGAUGAAGAAGGGGAUGAUUUCAUCGAUGAAAGCUAUCUUGCUCAUUUCGGUGAUACUUUCAUGGAGGAUGCUGAAGGUGAAGGGGAAGGUGAAGAAGAGGCACGUGAUGAUCCCGUUGAUGAUCUUGGUCGGACCAUUGCUGAUGCACGGAGACGCUGCGAAACUGAAAAGGAGAGGGAGAAUUUGGAUCGCAUGUUAGAGGAUCACAGAAAGGCGCUGUACCCCGGAUGCGAU
This 375-nucleotide ribosomal RNA is filed under the name Triticum aestivum (bread wheat). RNAcentral's name for it is "partial small subunit ribosomal RNA". The record is from RNAcentral. Lineage: Eukaryota; Viridiplantae; Streptophyta; Magnoliopsida; Poales; Poaceae.